This 253-nucleotide ribosomal RNA is filed under the name uncultured bacterium. Its description in RNAcentral is "partial 16S ribosomal RNA". It matches the Rfam family "Archaeal small subunit ribosomal RNA", at positions 474 to 727 of the family's 1478-position model. The record is from RNAcentral.
UACCAGCACCCCGAGUGGUCGGGACGAUUAUUGGGCCUAAAGCAUCCGUAGCCGGUCUUGCAAGUCUUCCGUUAAAUCCAGCUGCUUAACAGAUGGGCUGCGGAAGAUACUACAAGACUAGGAGGUGGGAGAGGCAAGCGGUACUCAGUGGGUAGGGGUAAAAUCCUCUGAUCCAUUGAAGACCACCAGUGGCGAAGGCGGCUUGCCAGAACGCGCUCGACGGUGAGGGAUGAAAGCUGGGGGAGCAAACGGG